UACGUAGGGGGCAAGCGUUGUCCGGAUUUAUUGGGCGUAAAGAGCUCGUAGGCGGUCUGUCGCGUCGGAUGUGAAAACCCAGGGCUCAACCCUGGGCCUGCAUUCGAUACGGGCAGACUAGAGUUCGGUAGGGGAGACUGGAAUUCCUGGUGUAGCGGUGAAAUGCGCAGAUAUCAGGAGGAACACCGGUGGCGAAGGCGGGUCUCUGGGCCGAAACUGACGCUGAGGAGCGAAAGCGUGGGGAGCAAACAGG
RNAcentral lists this ribosomal RNA (253 nucleotides) under uncultured bacterium. RNAcentral describes it as "partial 16S ribosomal RNA". It matches the Rfam family "Bacterial small subunit ribosomal RNA", at positions 524 to 776 of the family's 1533-position model. The record is from RNAcentral.